This 298-nucleotide unclassified non-coding RNA is filed under the name Hevea brasiliensis (rubber tree). The record is from RNAcentral. Lineage: Eukaryota; Viridiplantae; Streptophyta; Magnoliopsida; Malpighiales; Euphorbiaceae.
GGAAGUUCUGAUUUCUUAGCAGUAAAAAGCCUGUUCAUUUUGUGGCCAUGGCAACAAAUGAAAAUCUUCCUCCCAAUGUCAUAAAGCAACUUGCCAAGGAGUUGAAGAAUCUUGAUGAAUCCCCGCCUGAGGGUAUAAAAGUAGGAGUCAAUGAUGAUGACUUUUCAACCAUAUAUGCUGAUAUUGAAGGCCCAGCGGGGACGCCAUAUGAGAAUGGUCUUUUCCGUAUGAAGCUGUUACUGUCUAGUGACUUCCCACACUCUCCACCCAAAGGGUACUUCCUGACAAAGAUUUUCCA